CAGCAACUAAUCUGUACUUCAUUUGCAGCAUAUCUUUAAUUUUGGCAUUCUCUAACCCCACUUAAACUGUGAAAGAAACUGCACAAUCUGCCCCACAACUGGUAUAAACCAUUUCUGGCUGACUUGGACUUUCUAAGUCUUAAAACAAUAAAGGUAAAACUAAGCACAAAAUAUUUGUUAACACAAAAUAGAUAAAUACUAAGAGAAGAAUCUGGAAGAAAUGACAUUAUGUCAAACCAGAAAAAGGAGCUAGAUUUAAUUGUUGAAGAUUCUCUUUUUUUAUAUUUCUAAUUAGCAUUUUUUCUAAAAUGUGUUUCUAAGACUGUUCUGAAAGUAUCCAGAAUAUUUGAUCUUGCUGAUGUGUCCUAUUAGGCCUGAUGUGUUCCAUGCAAUGGGACAUUUUUUUGACAGAAAGGAAAUCUUGCCACUGUGGACGUCUAUUACAAACCUCUCCUCAAAAUCAGUAGAUCCAGAGGUCAGUUUUAGAUCCACAAUUGUAGCUGGCAUUUUCUGACUAUUCCAAUAAAAGAGAAGUUUAUGAUAUAUAGUGAUGAGGCCUGAGAAUUUUAGGGAAAAGAGAUAUUAGACAGCAAAAAACAGUGAAAAUUAAAUAUUAUCUCAGAGGCCAGAUUCAGAGGAAGGACAGGGAACUAAUGACAUUCAACAUGGAUACAGCUUUAUUUCAUAUGGGGCAGAGCCAUGUGAGAGUGUGAAAAUGGAAAUGAUGCAGUAGAUAUGAAACCUUUCUACACUUAUUGUUGGAGAACCUUGAAGUUUUGUGUCAUGUGUGUUUUACAGAUCAUCCCUGCCCCAUUGGUUCCCUCACUCACAGUCUGGAGAGAGGACAUAACCCAGUCCAUUGCCUUAACUACAGGGCUAAGUGAUGGCAAACAUGUUUGCCGGAAGAGGUGCUGUUUCAAAUGUUCAUAAUGGCAGACAUGCCAAAGAGUAACAUCAGGGCUUGCCCAACAAAGUAAAUGAUGAACAUCUUACAGCCUUGGUGCUUACACCACAUCCAUGCAGGGAAGAAUAAACACAAGACUUACUGGAAGUGUUAUUUGCCUCAUGCUGUUCUCGGGCCGGCUCUGCAGUAUGUCACAAGACCAAGCUGCUGGGCUCCAUACAACUGCAAUAAACUUUGGGAUAAACAUAUCUGUUUUUCUACAUUGCAUUUUGUUGGAUGAUGCCUAAGGAUGCAGUCAUUAAGAAUUUUAAGUCUGAAAUUAAAAACAGAGUUCUUUUUGUUAAAUUCGGUCCUUAUGGAAAAUAAGUAAAUACUUCC
Molecule: long non-coding RNA, 1282 nt
Organism: Gallus gallus (chicken)
Lineage: Eukaryota; Metazoa; Chordata; Aves; Galliformes; Phasianidae
Source: Ensembl